CUACAGGCUUAACACAUGCAAGUCGAGGGGCAGCAUGGUCUUAGCUUGCUAAGGCCGAUGGCGACCGGCGCACGGGUGAGUAACACGUAUCCAACCUGCCGUCUACUCUUGGACAGCCUUCUGAAAGGAAGAUUAAUACAAGAUGGCAUCAUGAGUCCGCAUGUUCACAUGAUUAAAGGUAUUCCGGUAGACGAUGGGGAUGCGUUCCAUUAGAUAGUAGGCGGGGUAACGGCCCACCUAGUCUUCGAUGGAUAGGGGUUCUGAGAGGAAGGUCCCCCACAUUGGAACUGAGACACGGUCCAAACUCCUACGGGAGGCAGCAGUGAGGAAUAUUGGUCAAUGGGCGAGAGCCUGAACCAGCCAAGUAGCGUGAAGGAUGACUGCCCUAUGGGUUGUAAACUUCUUUUAUAAAGGAAUAAAGUCGGGUAUGGAUACCCGUUUGCAUGUACUUUAUGAAUAAGGAUCGGCUAACUCCGUGCCAGCAGCCGCGGUAAUACGGAGGAUCCGAGCGUUAUCCGGAUUUAUUGGGUUUAAAGGGAGCGUAGAUGGAUGUUUAAGUCAGUUGUGAAAGUUUGCGGCUCAACCGUAAAAUUGCAGUUGAUACUGGAUAUCUUGAGUGCAGUUGAGGCAGGCGGAAUUCGUGGUGUAGCGGUGAAAUGCUUAGAUAUCACGAAGAACUCCGAUUGCGAAGGCAGCCUGCUAAGCUGCAACUGGCAUUGAGGCUCGAAAGUGUGGGUAUCAAACAGGAUUAGAUACCCUGGUAGUCCACACGGUAAACGAUGAAUACUCGCUGUUUGCGAUAUACUGCAAGCGGCCAAGCGAAAGCGUUAAGUAUUCCACCUGGGGAGUACGCCGGCAACGGUGAAACUCAAAGGAAUUGACGGGGGCCCGCACAAGCGGAGGAACAUGUGGUUUAAUUCGAUGAUACGCGAGGAACCUUACCCGGGCUUAAAUUGCAGAUGAAUUACGGUGAAAGCCGUAAGCCGCAAGGCAUCUGUGAAGGUGCUGCAUGGUUGUCGUCAGCUCGUGCCGUGAGGUGUCGGCUUAAGUGCCAUAACGAGCGCAACCCUUGUUGUCAGUUACUAACAGGUUCCGCUGAGGACUCUGACAAGACUGCCAUCGUAAGAUGUGAGGAAGGUGGGGAUGACGUCAAAUCAGCACGGCCCUUACGUCCGGGGCUACACACGUGUUACAAUGGGGGGUACAGAGGGCCGCUACCACGCGAGUGGAUGCCAAUCCCCAAAACCUCUCUCAGUUCGGACUGGAGUCUGCAACCCGACUCCACGAAGCUGGAUUCGCUAGUAAUCGCGCAUCAGCCACGGCGCGGUGAAUACGUUCCCGGGCCUUGUACACACCGCCCGUCAAGCCAUGGGAGCCGGGGGUACCUGAAGUGCGUAACCGCGAGGAGCGCCCUAGGGUAAAACUGGUGACUGGGGCUAAAU
This 1442-nucleotide ribosomal RNA is filed under the name uncultured organism. RNAcentral's name for it is "SSU rRNA". It matches the Rfam family "Bacterial small subunit ribosomal RNA". The record is from RNAcentral.